Long non-coding RNA from Lytechinus pictus (painted urchin), 532 nucleotides. RefSeq lists it as uncharacterized. The record is from RefSeq and is a predicted model, not a curated record. The transcript is spliced from 4 exons. NCBI's taxonomy places the organism in Eukaryota, Metazoa, Echinodermata, Echinoidea, Temnopleuroida, Toxopneustidae.
CACGAUUUUUUUUUAUAUAAAAGAGCUUCCAUCAGUUUCUGAUCGUAACAGUUAAUCAGCAGUUGUUUGCGCCAACUCGUUGAUACUCUUCUCGUCAUCUAUUUUUUUUCAUCUUUCGAGACCUAUUAUAUAGGGAGAAGACCCGAUCCUUGCAUUCCAAUUUCCAAGAUGGCGCACAAGAUAAUUUUCAUUUCCAUAUUGUUGUGCUGUGUUUUCGUUGAUGUCAUGUCUCAAAAGGGCAUGAACAAUGCUGAACAUUUCAGAGAUAACAAUCCUCUGGAUGAAGCUUCGGUACAACUGUGUCUCCAAACGAACAUUCCUACGGAAUUCUGCACAACUCAACAUAGUGCACAGAAGAAGCAAUCCUUCGAGAAAAGGUUGUUCUAACCGGGUCCAAUUAGUUGCCAUCGUUGAUUUGAGAUUACAGAACAAGUUUUGUUUGUAUGUGAUGCACAGAAGGCAGUUUUUCGAUGGUAUACCCUGAUUGUAAAAUAACCAAGAGUAAAAAUAAAUAGCGAAUGUCAACAAUUCA